This 497-nucleotide ribosomal RNA is filed under the name uncultured Actinomycetes bacterium. RNAcentral's name for it is "bacterial SSU rRNA". It matches the Rfam family "Bacterial small subunit ribosomal RNA", at positions 8 to 522 of the family's 1533-position model. Lineage: Bacteria; Bacillati; Actinomycetota; Actinomycetes. The record is from RNAcentral.
AGAGUUUGAUCCUGGCUCAGGACGAACGCUGGCGGCGUGCUUAACACAUGCAAGUCGAGCGGAAAGGCCCUUCGGGGUACUCGAGCGGCGAACGGGUGAGUAACACGUGAGUAACCUGCCCUAGGCUCUGGGAUAACUGUCGGAAACGAUGGCUAAUACCGGAUAUUCAGCUUCUUCCGCAUGGUGGGGGUUGGAAAGUUUUUCGGCUUGGGAUGGGCUCGCGGCCUAUCAGCUUGUUGGUGGGGUGAUGGCCUACCAAGGCUUCGACGGGUAGCCGGCCUGAGAGGGCGACCGGCCACACUGGGACUGAGACACGGCCCAGACUCCUACGGGAGGCAGCAGUGGGGAAUAUUGCACAAUGGGCGAAAGCCUGAUGCAGCGACGCCGCGUGAGGGAUGACGGCCUUCGGGUUGUAAACCUCUUUCAGCAGGGACGAAGCGUAAGUGACGGUACCUGCAGAAGAAGCGCCGGCCAACUACGUGCCAGCAGCCGCGGUA